This 103-nucleotide small RNA is filed under the name Serratia marcescens. Its description in RNAcentral is "partial RtT sRNA". It matches the Rfam family "RtT RNA", at positions 1 to 104 of the family's 130-position model. Rfam says of the family: This family represents a bacterial cis-regulatory element known as RtT RNA. Lineage: Bacteria; Pseudomonadati; Pseudomonadota; Gammaproteobacteria; Enterobacterales; Yersiniaceae. RNAcentral also lists the same sequence under 1 other name. The record is from RNAcentral.
UUCGUCUGUCGUUUAUGAGGAUGAGUACCUCCGCAGGAGGUUCGAGCCUCGCGAAGCGAGACAACGUUGCUUCAGCAACGGCCCGCAGGGCGCGCAUCCAAGA